This is a long non-coding RNA of Sitodiplosis mosellana (orange wheat blossom midge), 2500 nucleotides long. RefSeq lists it as uncharacterized. The transcript is spliced from 3 exons. The record is from RefSeq and is a predicted model, not a curated record. Lineage: Eukaryota; Metazoa; Arthropoda; Insecta; Diptera; Cecidomyiidae.
UCUCCCUACUUUGCCUACCAAUACAGACGGACGCGCACGAUCGGUCACAAAUACACGCCACUCGCUUCGUUUACUCACUCACUCUCUCUUUCUUUCUCUUUCUCUUUCUCUCUCUCUCGCUCUCUUUCGGUUCAGUCUCUGAAAAUCGUGACUCUCAACAACAGAACAAUACACGCUUUCAAUGCGGAGCGCAAAAAUAACAAGUAACACACAGAACGAACGAACGAACAAACGAAAGAUAGGAGAGAAAAAAAAAGUGUAGCGGCAGUUAAGACAAUGCCUAAUGAUGCUGACCGAACGCAAAGGAUAUCGUGCAUUUGCACUGUGUGUAUUGUUGGAAGGUAGAACAAAAAAAUAACAACAACAAAUGCUGCUGUGAUAUGAUUCGUUUGUUUGUUAAGCAAGGCCUUGCAUGGCAACUCCUCACCUUAAUCAACAAGCCGAAACUCACUCAACCACAAUCGAAACGAGAUCAAAUAAUAAAUAACAAAGAAAAGUCAAUGCAUUUUUUUUGCCAAUGUAUUCGUUGGCCAAUAAAUUUGUAUCGGAAAUUUAUGACACGCUUGCAAACCUACAUAUACAUGCAUAUUCACACACAGACACCAGAAGAAAGAGAAAAAUUUGCAUUUUUGCUAUUGGCUCAUAUAUGUAUAAAAAAAAUUCACCAAACAUUACACACUCCAAUAAUCCAAUGAUAUGGACCGAAUGUAAUACAAAAAUCGGUUAUCAUUUUCUUUAAUGGCUUUUCGAACGAUGCAAACGACACAUUUUCGUGUGUGUCGGACUUGUUCGAAAAGUGAUUUCAACAUUGAAAUGGCAUUGGAAAGUCAAGAUAAAUUGCGAUAAGUGUCUCGUUCCUUUUUCGACAAAAUCACAACACAUGCCGCACGGAAUUUAAAUGACAUUUUCGCAAUCGUGAGACACAACCAUUUCGAUUUCCAAUCAAUGUGUAAAAAUAGACAAUAAUCACAAAUCAAAAGAAUAAUUUCGUCGACACUAUCGGCGCGGAUAUCAAUGGACGCAUAUUCUCCAUGCUUUUCGUUCAUUUCAAAGGGACUUUUAUUCCGGUUUUCGGUUCUGUCGUCGAUUGAGAGAGAUAAAGACAGAGAGAAGCCAUAUAUACAAACACAAAUGAAUGUCUUGAUAUGAAAUUUCGAAUAUGUUGUUGCCCGAUCGAUGGGCUCAAAUUACAUUCACAUGCACAAUGUAUUGCGGUGUGUCAGACAAUGAUGACGCCGAAGACAACCAAGAGACGACGAUACAUUUCUUGGGAAAAUAAUUCUUAUGCUCUUCUUAUUUUUCCACUUGACCGGCUACACCCAAUAAUCGCAUCGGUACAGAACAUCAUCUCAACGCGCAACGGGGCAGCAGCAUCGACAUUGAGCAUCAAUUCGGUGUAUACUACGGUUCAAUGGAUUUUCUUAUAAGAAACCGAUCGAAUAAGAACGAACGAGCUAGAGAAAUACACACGCAACGAGAAUGGAGUGUGGUUAAGAUAAAAGCAUGCACAAAACCAGUCUUCAUCUUCUUCUUCUUUUUCAAUUAUCAUCUCUCUUCCAUUCGACGACCAAUUCUAUUCAUUCGGGAGAGUAGCCGGAGAAUCCAUAACAAUGGAAUCGCCAAAUAGCAUCAUCUCGCUCUCUCUAUCUCUCUCCGCCCGGUUUCAAAGAACAAACCGAUCAUAAAGAAUCAAUAUGCCGCUCAGUUUUUUUCUCUCUUCGAAUUACGAGGCAAAAGAACGUUUCGAGAGAGAAAAAGAUCGGAGAUGCUAAAAAAAUUACUUUGGUUUUGGAUCAAAAUACGUUGGAUUCACCUAUUUUGCUUUAAAAAAAAUCCCAAAAAAAUGCAUUUAUUCGUUGGCGGUCAAUCAAACCACUUUUGCACACUGCAGACUCGAUUGCAUUCCAUUCUUAUCGUAUGACUUAAUCUAAUGGAGCGAUAGAAACGAUAGAAACGGCAAAUCAAAAUGUCUUUCGAUUGUAUAAUCAGAUAAGUGAUGAGUGCGAUAAUUGUUGCACUGUGAGUUUCGGUCAAAACCGAACCAAUUCGCCUGCCUUAUCUGUGCGGUAUUUAGUAUUCUCGUUUGUUGAAUGGUUUUAGCCGAGCAUUUGUCGACGAUGACGUGAGCGUGUGAUAAUGCUACUUUUGCUGUCUGUGACGACGACGACGAUGAAGCAGACAUUUGAUCUUUCAUCUCCCGAGCUCACCGUUCAUGUUCACCAACACAAUCAUGGAUGAUGUGAUUCAAGUGGCAUUUGAAUUGAGUACAGGUGUAUCCAUGUGAUUUGUUUGCGUUUUGAUUAGCAUUUUAAUUAUUUAAAUACCAAGUGAAUUCGGUGUUUGCUUCUUCUUCUCCUAUUUUUAACUGAUGAUCGAAUUGCAAUAAAUGCUGUUCGGUAUCAGUUUAAUCUCGAAAAUAAACGAAAAUUUCAUGAUUUUCUGGAUUUGGUAAUAGUGUUUUGAAUAAAAAUUUAAUUUUGAUGCAACACAAAAAACAAAA